This is a long non-coding RNA of Dermochelys coriacea (leatherback sea turtle), 769 nucleotides long. RefSeq lists it as uncharacterized. NCBI's taxonomy places the organism in Eukaryota, Metazoa, Chordata, Testudines, Dermochelyidae. The record is from RefSeq and is a predicted model, not a curated record. The transcript is spliced from 3 exons.
GAUUUGGAAAACAUAAAAAUCAUCCAACCAGUCCAACAGAUAAUACAUAUCCUUUCAGUCUUCGGUAGGCCUCUUAACAUACUUCUCCUGCUAAACUAAGAUCAUAAGAAUUGUCAUUCUGGAUUAAAGCAGGGGACCAUCUUGUCUAGUAUCUUAUUCCAAAAGUGGCCAUUUCCAACUACUUCAGAGGAAGAUGUAAGAAACCUCCUACUGAACAAUUAAGGAAAAGUUCCUUAAAGUCCAUCCUCCACAGAAGUCAAAGGGAGUGGUAGUUGCCUAUCUGACAGAAGAAUUUGGCCCUGUGGUAUUAAAGUGUUCACAAUUCUCGUAUGAGUAUGGACAUGAUGUCAGUCAAGUUCACCUGACUAAUUGUUUGUUACAUUAAUCGUGAUUCAGAAGGUUUAAUCCACGUCAUUUUGCAGUUAGAAAAGUUAGUCUGCUUUGCCUGGAAAAAGUCAAGAGGAACUUUUAGUGGUUCUCUUACCUGAUCUCACCCAGCACGUCAAACAGAUGAAGAGAAAUAGCUUCAACAUAUGGAAAUGGUGAAAAGCAACACGUAACAUCCACAACUGAAUGGAGAAGAUUUUAGUAUUUCCUUAUAGCGUGCUAGCUUUCACUAUGAUCUGACAAUUAAACGUCACUGAUAAAACAGGUGUGGUGAAGAGAAGGAAGUUACUUUGCAAAGGGCAAAAACCAAUGAUCAAGCUUUUGCAAUGCAUGACUCCUCCUAUUUACUCACUUAAAUUGGUGAUGCAUAUUCUGUUCCUUC